AUACGUAGGGAGCGAGCGUUGUCCGGAAUUACUGGGCGUAAAGGGCGCGUAGGCCGUGUUAUAAGUUAGUUGUAAAACGUGUGGGCUUAACCCGCAUUCGCAACUAAAACUGUAACGCUAGAGGCAUAGAGAGGCAGACGGAAUUCCUGGUGUAGCGGUGAAAUGCGUAGAUAUCAGGAAGAACACCGGUGGCGAAGGCGGGCUGCUGGCUAUGAACUGACGCUGAAGCGCGAAAGCCAGGGGAGCAAACGGGAUUAGAUACCCCGGUAGUCCUGGCAGUAAACGAUGUAUGCUGGGUGUGGGCGUAGCGAUACGUCCGUGCCGAAGUUAACGCGAUAAGCAUACCGCCUGGGGAGUACGGUCGCAAGAUUGAAACUCAAAUGAAUUGACGGGG
This 394-nucleotide ribosomal RNA is filed under the name uncultured bacterium. RNAcentral describes it as "partial 16S ribosomal RNA". It matches the Rfam family "Bacterial small subunit ribosomal RNA", at positions 523 to 918 of the family's 1533-position model. The record is from RNAcentral.